GCAGACACAUUCCAGUCAAUCAGCAGCAGACCCUCCCUCCCAGACCCUCCCACCUCCUGGAUACCAUCCAUUUUACAUUCAUUGUGAAGCUGCAUUCUUAGUGAGCUGUCCAGGAGGUGGGAGGGUCUGGGAGGGAGGGUCUGCUGCUGAUUGGCUGGAAUGUGUCUG
Non-coding RNA from Pelobates cultripes (western spadefoot toad), 168 nucleotides. Lineage: Eukaryota; Metazoa; Chordata; Amphibia; Anura; Pelobatidae. The record is from the annotation of a GenBank genome assembly.